GACGAACGCUGGCGGCGUGCUUAACACAUGCAAGUCGAACGGAAAGGCCCUGCUUUUGUGGGGUGCUCGAGUGGCGAACGGGUGAGUAACACGUGAGUAACCUGCCCUUGACUUUGGGAUAACUUCAGGAAACUGGGGCUAAUACCGGAUAGGAGCUCCUGCUGCAUGGUGGGGGUUGGAAAGUUUCGGCGGUUGGGGAUGGACUCGCGGCUUAUCAGCUUGUUGGUGGGGUAGUGGCUUACCAAGGCUUGGACGGGUAGCCGGCCUGAGAGGGUGACCGGCCACAUUGGGACUGAGGUACGGCCCAGACUCCUACGGGAGGAAGCAGUGGGGAAUAUUGCACAAUGGGCGGAAGCCUGAUGCAGCAACGCCGCGUGCGGGAUGACGGCCUUCGGGUUGUAAACCGCUUUCGCCUGUGACGAAGCGUGAGUGACGGUAAUGGGUAAAGAAGCACCGGCUAACUACGUG
RNAcentral lists this ribosomal RNA (468 nucleotides) under uncultured bacterium. RNAcentral describes it as "partial 16S ribosomal RNA". It matches the Rfam family "Bacterial small subunit ribosomal RNA", at positions 28 to 507 of the family's 1533-position model. The record is from RNAcentral.